This 251-nucleotide ribosomal RNA is filed under the name uncultured prokaryote. Its description in RNAcentral is "partial 16S ribosomal RNA". It matches the Rfam family "Bacterial small subunit ribosomal RNA", at positions 525 to 775 of the family's 1533-position model. The record is from RNAcentral.
ACGUAGGUCACAAGCGUUGUCCGGAUUUAUUGGGCGUAAAGGGAGCGCAGGUGGUUUGUUAAGUCUGAUGUGAAAGCCCCCGGCUCAACCGGGGAGCUGCAUUGGAAACUGGCAAACUUGAGUGCAGAAGAGGAAAGUGGAAUUCCAUGUGUAGCGGUGAAAUGCGUAGAUAUAUGGAGGAACACCAGUGGCGAAGGCGACUUUCUGGUCUGUAACUGACACUGAGGCUCGAAAGCGUGGGGAGCGAACAG